CGUCCUUAUAAGCUUGGACCCAAGGAACUGAAGGAAUUGAAGAAACAGCUCAAUGAACAAGAGCGUCUGGGUUUGAUCAGACCGAGUUCAUCUCCGUGGGGUUGUGGUGUUCUUUUUGUCCAGAAGAAGGAUGGCACGGACCGACUUUGCGUCGACUACCGUCCAUUGAACAAGAAGACAAUCAAGAACAAGUAUCCACUUCCCAACAUCAAUGAGCUAUUCGAGCAACUCAAGGGUGCUAAAGUAUUCUCCAAGCUUGACCUUCGAAUGGGUUAUCAUCAGAUUCACAUUCAUGAAGAAGAUAUUCCCAAGACAGCAUUCGGAACAAGCUUUGGUUCUUAUGAAUAUACUGUCAUGUCUUUCGGCCUUGUCAAUGCUCCUCCAACAUUAUCUCGGAUGAUGAAUUUCAUCUUCAACCCCUAUACCAACGAAUUCGUCCUGGUGUAUCUCGAUGAUAUCUUGGUCUUCUCCAAGAAUAAGAAGGAUCAUGCCAAACAUUUGCGAUUGGUGCUCGACAAGAUCAGAGAGUAUCAAUUCAAUGCGAAG
RNAcentral lists this ribosomal RNA (546 nucleotides) under Triticum aestivum (bread wheat). RNAcentral describes it as "partial small subunit ribosomal RNA". The record is from RNAcentral. Lineage: Eukaryota; Viridiplantae; Streptophyta; Magnoliopsida; Poales; Poaceae.